UGGGCUGUAGCUCAGUGGCAGAGCGCUUGCCUAGCAUGUGUGAGGCACUGGGUUAGAUCCUCAGCACCACAU
This 72-nucleotide transfer RNA is filed under the name Ictidomys tridecemlineatus (thirteen-lined ground squirrel). RNAcentral describes it as "Spermophilus tridecemlineatus (thirteen-lined ground squirrel) tRNA". It matches the Rfam family "tRNA". From Rfam's summary of the family: Transfer RNA (tRNA) molecules are approximately 80 nucleotides in length. Their secondary structure includes four short double-helical elements and three loops (D, anti-codon, and T loops). Lineage: Eukaryota; Metazoa; Chordata; Mammalia; Rodentia; Sciuridae. The record is from Rfam by way of RNAcentral.